CAAUAACGAAAGAAAGACAAUCCUUUUAUCACCAGAAAAUAAGUGUUAGUUUUCAGACAACACUUCCGCAUCUCGAUGCCUGGGUGAUGUUUUUCAGUGACCAACACAGGACUUAGGAAAAGACGUCGUGUCAUGCUGUUCAAGGUCACUGAGAUCUGGCCUUGCCCCCAGGUGUCAGACCCACUGAGGAAGACCAAGCAGGAGUUGCUUCAGAGGAGGCAUGGAUACGAACGUGGAGAGGGGAGAAGGAGAAGCCACUGCCUUGAGGAGAGUUAAGUGUCCUUUGAGACGGGAGUUAAGAUGUGCAAACAGAGGCCUAGGACAAGGAAAAUGAUCUGACUGAGAGUCCAGGGUAAACAGCAUUUGCGGAGAUUCAUAUGUAUCUGCACACACACCCUGAUCACUAAAAUUUAUCUAGACCUUUGCUAGACACUUGCGAAAGUGUGAUCCACCGGCCAGUAGCAUCAGUAUUACCUGGGAACUUGUUAGAAAUACAAAUUCUCAGGUCCUUCCCCAGACCUAAUGACUCAGCAACCUCAGGUGUUUCUUGUGCAUCUUAAAUUUGAGAAGUCCUUCUCUAGAAGGCUGAUUGGAGCUGGAAGUGGGAUGUAGUUGAAGAGGCUGGGGGCAUGUUUUAAUCCUGGCUUCAGAGGAUCAGAAUAAAAUCCAC
Molecule: long non-coding RNA, 670 nt
Filed under: Equus asinus (donkey)
Lineage: Eukaryota; Metazoa; Chordata; Mammalia; Perissodactyla; Equidae
Description: lncRNA (ENSEASG00005029511.1)
Source: RNAcentral